AUACAAAUAUUGUAAAUAAUAAGUACGAUCUGUCUGUUGAUUUCAUUACGUUGCCCUUAUAUUCAGUGAGAAUUUGCGAUGGAGUUGUCUUUAACAAUCAAGCAAUGUUAGCAUUUUUGGUACUACAGUACAGUUUCGUUGAACUAUUUGCUAAAAAAAACUAAAAUCCCUUUUACAGGUUUCAACUCAUUUCGGUUCAAUUAAAGUUGAAGCAAUUCAACUUUAGAUCAAAUGAACUCAUUUUUGGUAUUACGAUUUACAACUAUUAGUUUGCUAUUAAUGCCAACCUAAAAAAUGAAGAUUUCACAAAUAAUUAAGCAUCUGAAGUUUUUUAAAUGAUAAAUUAAAACAAUUUAAUUGAGUUAUUGUUCAAAAGGUAAAUAAUUAUUAAUAUGAACAUUAUUUUUUAUUUAUGCAACUAUUACGAUGACAAAAAUGUUACGGUAAAAACUGAUGUGCUGCGCAUAAGAAAAAUCCUUUCUUUAUUUUGCCAAAAGUUUUAUUGACAACUCAACUCACCACGUCCGAUAACACCAUACUCACUCACCACACAUCUACAUCAUUCAACCCACUCAACAAAAAGGAUGGAAAAAAGGAUAGCAAACAUUAUUUUUUUCGUUUACACCAUUCGUACCAAGCAAUUCGUCUACAAGACUUUUGCUUGUGCACUGCGCCGCGUUAGGACUCUACCCUAAUUAUACCUUUUUCGAUACCAAUCCCGCGCGCUGCAAUAAUUUGAAGAACCGAAGGAGAAUCGGACAAAUCGUUUCGUUACCCUCGAACUCGCUGAUUUUUAAACAAUAAUUUCAAUUGUAACGUUGCUAACUUUUUAUAAAAAGAAAUUAAACUUUAAUAAAUCGAAUUUUUACUUAA
Long non-coding RNA from Bactrocera neohumeralis, 873 nucleotides. RefSeq lists it as uncharacterized. The transcript is spliced from 2 exons. NCBI's taxonomy places the organism in Eukaryota, Metazoa, Arthropoda, Insecta, Diptera, Tephritidae. The record is from RefSeq and is a predicted model, not a curated record.